Triticum dicoccoides is the source of this 727-nucleotide long non-coding RNA. RefSeq lists it as uncharacterized. The transcript has 3 exons. The record is from RefSeq and is a predicted model, not a curated record. Lineage: Eukaryota; Viridiplantae; Streptophyta; Magnoliopsida; Poales; Poaceae.
UGUAAUGUUGGUAAAUGCUCUUGUUGGCUUGGUUGUAUAAUUGGAUAAGAACUAUAGUAGGAUCUACACUUGAUUUUCGUGUGUUGCUAAAUAUCUAACUUGGUCAUGCACUCACGAUCGCUGCCUUCUUCCUCCAGGCUGGCAGUCACCUGCAGGCUAAUGUGACGAGGUGAUGAGAUACACGAGGGGUGGGAGAAGGACUGCAGGAGGACAUGCCCUGUUUUAGAUCCACCCGAUCAUUCCAAGUUUUUGCAAGGAGUUUGGAUUACCCUGAAGACUUCUUUUAGGAUCUUGAAUUACUCUGAGCAAUUCGCACAAGAGUUGAGAGUAUAGUCUGAACACUAGCCAUAGUGUGCCACGACGACCACUUGCAUACAGGAGCCUCGCGGCGCGGUCAUCUUUCCUUUCUCCUCCUCCAGCCCCCUUCCUUUAGCUCUCAUUGUAGCUUUUAUGUGCAAGAGAUUUGAUCAUGGGCAUAAGCAAACAGUUUCACAUUUCAUUGGUGCACGCGCAUGAAAAAUGAACUUGGAAGGAUUUCUUUUCUAAGUGUGAGUCUGGUUUCAUGGAAAUGUGCACUCCACAAGUGUGAUUCGGAGGAGACUGGAUCGAGCUCACGAGAGGGUCAGUAUUAAUUGUUCAGGUUGGCUUCACUGUUUUUUCCGCUCGACUUGUAUGUUGCUUUUUAUCUGUAUAUAAUGAACCUAGAAUAUAGUUAUGUAUUUUGUAA